UACGUAGGGUGCAAGCGUUAAUCGGAAUUACUGGGCGUAAAGCGUGCGCAGGCGGUUGUGCAAGACAGAUGUGAAAUCCCCGAGCUUAACUUGGGAACUGCAUUUGUGACUGUAUGGCUAGAGUAUGGUAGAGGGGGAUGGAAUUCCGCAUGUAGCAGUGAAAUGCGUAGAUAUGUGGAGGAACACCGAUGGCGAAGGCAAUCCCCUGGACCUGUACUGACGCUCAUGCACGAAAGCGUGGGGAGCAAACAGG
Molecule: ribosomal RNA, 253 nt
Filed under: uncultured bacterium
Lineage: Bacteria
Description: partial 16S ribosomal RNA
Rfam family: Bacterial small subunit ribosomal RNA
Source: RNAcentral